This 253-nucleotide ribosomal RNA is filed under the name uncultured bacterium. Its description in RNAcentral is "partial 16S ribosomal RNA". It matches the Rfam family "Bacterial small subunit ribosomal RNA", at positions 524 to 776 of the family's 1533-position model. The record is from RNAcentral.
UACAGAGGGGGCAAGCGUUAAUCGGAAUUACUGGGCGUAAAGCGUGCGUAGGCGGUUACAUAAGUCGGGUGUGAAAGCCCCGGGCUCAACCUGGGAAUUGCAUUCGAGACUGCGUAGCUAGGGUGCGGAAGAGGGAAGCGGAAUUUCCGGUGUAGCGGUGAAGUGCGUAGAUAUCGGAAGGAACACCAGUGGCGAAAGCGGCUUCCUGGUCCAGCACCGACGUUCAGGCACGAAAGCGUGGGGAGCAAACAGG